AGAGAAAACUUUAUCAGAUGGGUUUUGAGAUGAGGAAAUUGCUUUGUAGAGCUGACCAGCAGGCGAUAAAACCUAGUCACUAUAAAAAGACAGAGUUUAUAGUUUACAUAAAAAGACAACAGCCCCUGCAGCAAGAGGGCUUUGCUCAAGGGCACAACAGCAUUAGUUAGAACAGCAUUUAUUCUGAGUCGCUGUGCAGAUAUUCCUGACUCGUCCAAGGAUUCAUAACAGAAACCGCCCUGUCACAACCCGACUCCUCAAACCUUUUUGGCCACGGACACAAAGUCAAAGUCGUGAAGCUCCACCACCACCUCCGAGUCAGCUGCUCUUGGACAAAUUUCAAGUCUGUCACUUGUGAUUUAGGGAUGCACCGGUACUUUGUUUGAGUGUGAGAACUGUUGUUGCUAUUCAAUAUUUAUGUUGUUGUUCCUAUUGAAUAUUUCUGUUUCUGCUGUAACUGGGAGUCUUCGGAGAAACCCUGGAGAGUGUUCACUGUGUUUGGGUUCAUCCGGUUCCCAUAAAAGAGAGCGCUCAACACACAGGGUGAUGCAGAGCUACAUCUAAUCACACAUGUAAAAUAAUAAUAAUAUUAUAAUGAUACUGGAAACUGUCAAUAUAAAAAAAGACAUUUUGGCAUUGCUGACAGGUGCAGCAGGAACGACUGAGGUUUAACAUAAGUUUGUUCCUCACUUAAUAACUCACACGAGUCACUGCUCCAUUCAUUGUCUAUGAGGCAGUGCCAGAUUUAAUAUCCCAGUGACAUCAAGAAUUCAGGGGUCAGUUCUCCUGUUAAGCUUUAGGGAAGGAGUGGAGUAUUUCUAUUUGUAUUGACCAAACUGUCCCAUGGCACAGAUGUGAAUUAAUUUAAGCAGCAGUGGGUUGAAAGCAAAGAAGGUGGAUUUUACACUUUUACACUGCAAGAACAAAAAAAUGAGCCCACCUACAAUUAUGAGAUCACAUAAUGCAGAAUAACUCUCUUUAUCUCCGUGCACAUAAAACAGAACAUCCCAAAAAGAUCAUUUAAAUGUAUUUUCUAUUCAUUUUCUAACUGUAGAGUACUUCUAGGAUUGCUGGUAGUGUCUUAUUGUUGAGCAUUGUGCGAAGAAAAGUUGUUAUCAGUGAGAAACUGCCACAUGGUAACCACCAAUAAGAUUUGAAAUCCAAUCCAAUUAGUUUCACACUGUCAUCACACCCACACACACACACACAUCACAACAAUGCUAUUACUGACACAAGCUGAAAAAAUUAAUUGAUUAGUCACCUGACAGAAAAUGAAUCUGCAAUCUACCCAUGUUAAUCCCAGUCAUCCUUUUCUAAUCCAUAUUUUUAAGAGUAAGAUUAACCUGCGAUUGAACCUUCAACUAGGAGAAAACGAACAGCUUUCCUCUUGUGGCUGUCUCUGAUAGGAUAUGUUUUUGCAGCCAUAUAAAGCCAACUAGUUCCCUUUACGCUGUACAUUAUAAGGAACAAUGAAAGCGCGACACAGCCCUCAGCUGAAGUUGUCCCCAUGGAGAAAGUGCAGAUAGAUCAACCUCUGCUUCUCCCUGCCCACUGGGUUUGGGCCUAUUGUCAUGACCUUGCUUAUUCACAAAUGCUUCCAACAUCAUGUCAGAGCAAACAGUGCAACAGAGCGGCUCUGAAUACCUCAGACACACUCUCUCAUUAUUCUUUCUCCUCCUCCUCCGCUUCCUCCCCCCAUCUCCGCCCCAUUUCUCUCUUUCAGCUGAGGAACAUGAUUAAUGUGCACCUUGCCACUGGUGGUUUUUCUAAUUGCCAGCACACCGGCCCAGUCAGCGCAAUGUGCACGCACACACACACACACGCACGCACAAACACAUCACACAUACACAAGCCAUAUGUGUGUGAAAAAUGCACACAAAGGAAAAGGUAUGCAAAAAAAACACAAUAUACACACAGAUGUGUGAACAAAAGGAAGUCCACACACAAAUGCACACACACACACACACACCUAUAUAUAUAUGUGUGUAUGUGUGCUUGCGCAUACAUCCACCCCCACACACACACCCACACACUCGCAAACUAGGGAGGGAGUGCGGCUGGGGCAGGUGCUUGCCAUUUCUCAACACAUUAAUCAUCCUCCUUUAAAUAACCUGAGUGUCGUCUUGACGGUUUGAGACUGUGAGGAUGCUGCAGUGCUGUUGCCUGACGACGGCACGGUCCCCGUCACCGCAUCUUUCUAAUGUUAUCUCUGAAACCCACAAGCCCCAAAGUGUCAGGAAAUGGGCUCCCCUACCUCCCGAACUGGCUGCGGUGAUUUGAUGGCUUUGACCUCUGCACAGUGAUGUGUUGUGUGGCCCCCGUGUCUAACCCCAAUCUUCCAGCCCUGUUAAGGUUCUCUUCUGAGGAUUGGACCUGGAGUGCACCACGGUCAGUGGGAAAACUGCUCAGAGGCUGGACACUGCACAAAAGGCUGCCUUGAGGGGUGCUACUGUAAUGCUCAGGACUAGGUUCUCACACACAGUUAUGGGUUCAGAGUGCGGUUUUGCUGAAUACUGUGAAUGUGCUUAAAACCAAAACAAAGUAGCCUUUAGCAGAAAAGGUUUUGGUUGGAGAUUUUUUCCUUCCAUGACUUUAAAAGGAAAAGUUUUCACUCUUGCUAUAUGGGUCAAUCCAAUACUAGUGUUUCACUUAUGUAUUUUUUCCUGACGCUUCAGCACACCGCUCUGCACACCUUAAAGCUCUUAAAUUAUAUUCUUUGCAGUGGUGCUUAAAAUAUAAAAACACACACACACAAAAGUUUUGUACUUAAAGUACUUUGACAAUAGUUACACACAACCCAGCUGUUUUUUUUUUUUGUUUUUGUUUUUGUCUUUUUGCAUCUAUUUCUGUUUUUCACUGUAUAAUUUUAAUAAUGUUUCACUAUGGGGUGAAAUUUACAUUAACUACAGUGUUAUAAAAUGUAUUCAAUCAUAUCCAUACAUUAGAAAUUAGUGAUAUAUAUGGAAAUAACCUCAUUAGAAAAGAAAACAUUUUUAUAACAAUGUUUACUUGUGACAUGCUAAAAUGUAUUGUUACAGUAGCACUAGCAAAGACUACUUCAGUGAUAUCAGUUAUACAAAUAAAUAUUUAAAGUUUGCUGAUAUUAGCUACCAUAAGCUAGCACCAAUUAAGACUGCAGCAGAAAAACCCCUGAGUGAACUGGGGUGAGCUUUAUUGCUCAAUUUUUCAUUGGUAAGAAGAAUUUGUUAUUUUUUCUUUUAAAGGUUACAUAGUCUGGCUUUAAAUUUGAAAUAUGAGAUAAGAUGAGAUAAGAUAAGUGCAGGAUUUCAGGAAUAUUGUGUACGAAAACCUGCAUGAAGCAGCAGAACCCACUAAUCUGUGCAUGUUCCUUUAUGAUCUGUAGGUGUGAAUAUGGCUACACUCUUCCAUUAUGUUCCUUGACUCCUCCUUGUGUUACAUUUAAUUAUAAUCUUUGAACUCCUGUAUCUAUUACUGUGGGAUGUGAACAUAAAUAUGUAUGAAUGUAUGUUGUGUUUGGCUCUAAUGAUGCAUUUACUCUGACGUUUCUUGAAAUGAUAAAUUAAAUGAACAUAUUAAAGGAACAUAUUUUUCAUGUUAUAAUACUUGUUAUAAGUGUUUCCCACCUGCAUAAUUCCUCUCUCUAAAACCUCUUCUUUAUAUCCUGGAUGAACACUAUCCAAGUAAUAGAAAGUGGGCUAUUAAGGCUACGGGUUACUGAUGGUGAGUAAAAUUACAUUUUUCAUGCUGUAUAAUAGAACAAAUCUCUUGCCUCAUUCAUAACAUAAAAAUAUAAUACCCCGUUACAUCAAAAACCUAUAACAAAUUUCAUGCUUAAUUAGGAGGAAAUGCAAUUCAGAGCACCAAGUACAGUAAAUACCACAACUGAGCUCACUGAAGAUGUAGGAGAGAUAUGGCCUUAGUAUGUGUGAUUCAUUUUGCUGAAACUGAUCUGAAGUUACACAAUGUUUAACUCUGCCAAUGGCUCAUAAUAUCACUAGCUACUAUAUGGCAACUGGUACACAGACAAGCUGUGCACUGCCUGUGAUGUUUAACACUACUGCCAUCAAGCUAAAGGCAAAUGAGUUUCUGCUGUAAGUAUUAAUGAGAAUGGGUAAACAUUAUGUAACACUGACCAGUAGCUGUCUGGUGCAGGUUUUAAUGACAGUGAUGAAAAUGGGAUUUUGUUGUAUCAACAGAUCAUGGUAAAUUACUUCCAAAAAUCAGCAAACGCUGCAAGUGACAGAACCAUGGAGCAUUAAAGCUGCUGAACACCAGCUUUCACACUGAUGUGUGUACUGAAUCCCCUUCUGUCGGCAUUAAAGGGGCACACUGCUGAUUUCACAUAUGAAGAUCACAUCAAUUCAGUCAUGAGUACUACUCAGUACGUGAAAAAAAGUUAGUGGCCUCAGAGGGAGCUUUGUAAAGUGUGAAAAAACGACCCUGAUGAUGUCUUCAGGGUUGCAAAUCCCCCCCGUGGGAUUAAUAAAGUUCAUCUCAUCUCAGCAUAAGCUUGGGGACAACAAAUUAAUAAACCCUGGUGGUACUGAGUUGAAAAGACAGUGCCACAUAUUUAUCAGGAAAAACCCAUGAUGUUGCCUUAUGGGAAAUGUAGGAGUCAGUGUUUUUGGAGUUCAACACAUACUACACUAAAGGUCAGGAUAUUUCACGCUUAAGAUCUUUUCACACUGGGGGUAUUUUUUCAUGUGGUUCAUUCACAUGUCAAUUUAUUUUUUUUACACUGGUUGUUUUUGUUAUGACUACUUUUACACACAGAAUGUGAAUAUUACAUGGCAAAAAAGCAAUGUAAUUUUUUUUCUGAGCUUUCGUGCCACGAAUAAAGGCAUCACCCCACACAGACCGUCAGAGUCUGCUCUAGGCUGAGGAAUCCUAGUAGUUGGUCCACUGCCUCCUCAGAUGUGGCGCUCGCAUCUGCAGCACCACCUCAAACUGUCCCACCAACAUCCUAAAAAUAUGUCUGCAACCGGCCGUGGUGGAGCUUCAGCUCCUGUAUAUUCACAAGCGAGUAUUUUGCACCGUAUAUUUGUGUCGUGCUGUUUGUGAAAAGACCUUCAGAGGCAAAUAUGAUCAGUUUAACUAUGUUUAGUUAACUACUAUAAUUAUUAUUUUUUACUAUCACUGUUAGCACCGAUAUACCAAGACAAAUUCCUUGUAUGUGCAAACUUACUUGGCAAUAAAGUCUGAUUCUGAUUCUGAUUCUAAAGGGUACAAUAAAUAAGAUUUCUCUGCCACUGAAUGUGGUUUAAGGUUUUGAAAAAACACAUAUGAUUUGAAACCAGUGUUCCAGGUUUUCUAAUACUGUGCUCUUUAGUGAUGUUUAUCGAGCCUCCUUUAAAAGUUGUUGUACGUGAUUCAUCUUACGAGGACAGAAUUUCAGCAGGGACUAGAUGGAAAUGAGGUCAAUUGUACUCCCAGUGCUGCUAAAUGACUUUAUGGUACCACUCCAUAUACACCCUGUGUAUUAUGAACAAUACUUAUGUGCCAGGACAAAUGUUGCGUAAAUACAUCAACGUGUAUGUGCACAGAGGACAAACUCCAUCUCUGGAAUGGACCUCUCUCAGUAAUUUGACCAUCACAGGGAGAGACAACACGGCCUGCUUAUUGAUCCCCUCUUGCAUCAGCAGAGCAGGCCUUAUUCAAUAAAAGCACGGGCAGUCACUAACAAAAAUAUUUCGGACAAAUCAGAGCAGGUUGGACAUGCGCUGCAUCACAUGCUGCAGUCAACACCUUAAUGGAAGUGCCCAAGAGCUCUUAAUGGAUGUACUUUUACUCCAAACUGAUGGGGUUUUGUUCCAUAUCUGGAGAAGCAGUGCCCGCGCUGCUCUUACUGUCACAUUGAUGCCAAUUGACUGAGGUAGCUGUCCACACGGUGCAGCGAGAGCCAAUUGACUUCUGACCCACCCGUGUAACAAAGCAGAGCCUCCCAGUGUUCCUGGAUCAAUAUGGCCGCUCCGCAUCACAGCAGCGGUGCUCAGAUUGGCUCCCCCUGUGCUGACCUUCCAGAGAACCCAAGCAUUCAUUGACUGGUCGGGGAGGAGGAAAUGGGCAAGUCCUGGCCUGUUCCUGCAGUUAAUGCUCACCACAACCAAACACUUACAGACUUAAGGGCAACUAUGAAACUUCCAUUGGACUGGUAAUUGUUUUCUAAGAUAUAACCUGGACUCUAUCUGACCUUCUGAAUUUAGAAUAUAUUCACAUACACUCUUGACUUUUUUCUUGCUUCUUAAGCCAUAAUAAUGUGUGGUAGCUUGUUUGGAAAUCACAUUUGUCCCAUUGCACUAUAGAGGUGGGGUGGGGCUGCCCACUUUAAAGCUCCAUUAGGCAAAUUAUCUUUGUAAAAAUGCUAUCACACACUGAUGCAGCAAUAGAGAGAAGAAUACUGUACUGGUGAUUUGCUGUGUGUGCCCCGAUGAAUUUCUGUUAAGUGUGGACAUGAGCUGAACAUCUUCAUUAUCAGUAAGUGAAAAUUGAAAAAUAAAAUCAUAUUGGUGACUGGCAGAACUUUUGAAGCUCUGAACUCUGUCAGUGCUGCAUCACAAACUGAGGGGUUGGUAUGUCAAGUAUGAGUGCAUUUUACCUAGCCUAUUAAAGGUGCUAUAUAUACGUUUUUGCUAUCGCUACAUAGCCAGUGUUGUUGGUUUACUUACCAAGAGCUUCAGCCGUGUUGUGUUUGCAAGACAAGAGGUCAGAAUAUGCCUUCUGCGCAGCACUAUUUCUUCAUCCUCUCAUGUUGGAUGGAGGCCAAAUGGACACUACAAUGACUCACUAUCACAAAAUGGUAUUACAAAACGGGACGGGCUAACUGGUUAGCACGCUAACUUCAGUAGAAGAAAAGUGAUGGGAACAGAAGUAAAACAAGAGCUGAUUUCCAUUGUUUGAGACUGCUCUUGGCGAGGAAAAGAAUGAAAUUUGAAGCUUAACUUGACGGUACUUCUAGACUGGUAAGUAAACAGCUUAAUGCCAAUAUUAGCUUUGUAGUGAUAGUUAAAACAUACAUAUAGCAUCAGUGAAGUUGCCUUCUAUGUAAACACAUAAAGCUAUGUUUACAUGAACUGUUUCUCAUAUAUAGCGCAUUGUGAGAGCAUCACUGAAACCUAAUAAACACGUUCAAUGAAGAGUAAAAUGUAAAGAAUGUGGAGUAAAGAUUCUGCUUGUAUUCUUCUAUGACAUGCUCAAACAAUAGAUCUGGGUUGAAAGCAUCUUCAUAGCAAUAAAUCAAUAUUUACACA
Molecule: long non-coding RNA, 7229 nt
Organism: Lates calcarifer (barramundi perch)
Lineage: Eukaryota; Metazoa; Chordata; Actinopteri; Centropomidae
Exons: 2
Source: RefSeq, a predicted model, not a curated record